GCAAGUCGAGGGGUAACGGAAGUAGCUUGCUACUAGACGACGACCGGCGCACGGGUGAGUAACGCGUAUGUAAUCUGCCUUGUACAGAGGGAUAGCCCAGAGAAAUUUGGAUUAAUACCUCAUAGUAUUACUGAAUCGCAUGAUUCGGUAAUUAAAGCUCCGGCGGUACAAGAUGAACAUGCGUGACAUUAGCUAGUUGGUAAGGUAACGGCUUACCAAGGCCACGAUGUCUAGGGGUUCUGAGAGGAUGAUCCCCCACACUGGUGCUGAGACACGGACCAGACUCCUACGGGAGGCAGCAGUGAGGAAUAUUGGUCAAUGGACGCAAGUCUGAACCAGCCAUCCCGCGUGAAGGAUGACUGCCCUAUGGGUUGUAAACUUCUUUUAUAUGCAAAUAAACCUACUUUCGUGAAAGUAGCUGAAGGUAGCAUAUGAAUAAACACCGGCUAACUCCGUGCCAGCAGCCGCGGUAAUACGGAGGGUGUAAGCGUUAUCCGGAUUUAUUGGGUUUAAAGGGUACGUAGGCGGUAAUAUAAGUCAGUGGUGAAAUCCUGCAGCUCAACUGUAGAACUGCCAUUGAAACUGU
RNAcentral lists this ribosomal RNA (586 nucleotides) under uncultured bacterium. RNAcentral describes it as "bacterial SSU rRNA". It matches the Rfam family "Bacterial small subunit ribosomal RNA", at positions 57 to 636 of the family's 1533-position model. The record is from RNAcentral.